AUUGAACGCUGGCGGCAGGCCUAACACAUGCAAGUCGAGCGGAUGAAGGGAGCUUGCUCCUGGAUUCAGCGGCGGACGGGUGAGUAAUGCCUAGGAAUCUGCCUGGUAGUGGGGGAUAACGUCCGGAAACGGGCGCUAAUACCGCAUACGUCCUGAGGGAGAAAGUGGGGGAUCUUCGGACCUCACGCUAUCAGAGGAGCCUAGGUCGGAUUAGCUAGUUGGUGGGGUAAAGGCCUACCAAGCGGACGAUCCGUAACUGGUCUGAGAGGAUGAUCAGUCACACUGGAACUGGGACACGGUCCAGACUCCUACGGGAGGCAGCAGUGGGGAAUAUUGGACAAUGGGCGAAAGCCUGGUCCAGCCAUGCCGCGUGUGUGAAGAAGGUCUUCGGAUUGUAAAGCACUUUAAGUUGGGAGGAAGGGCAGUAAGUUAAUACCUUGCUGUUUUGACGUUACCAACAGAAUAAGCACCGGCUAACUUCGUG
Molecule: ribosomal RNA, 484 nt
Filed under: uncultured bacterium
Lineage: Bacteria
Description: partial 16S ribosomal RNA
Rfam family: Bacterial small subunit ribosomal RNA
Source: RNAcentral